Molecule: RNA transcript, 2266 nt
Organism: Magnolia sinica
Lineage: Eukaryota; Viridiplantae; Streptophyta; Magnoliopsida; Magnoliales; Magnoliaceae
Exons: 3
Source: RefSeq, a predicted model, not a curated record
UUGUUUGGUUUGGAUGGUCAUGAUUGUUUGAUCAGCCAUAUGACACUGUUAGGACUGAAUGGGCGGUUCAGAUUGAUGGAUUUGACUAUUUGAGCAUUCAGUACAUUUAGUGCCCAUUUGGAUUGUUGUAUUGGUCAAUCCAGGAUUGGCAAUGCUUGCAGUUCAAACAAUUUUUUUUGUGCUAAUCCAGUUAAAAAUGCAUGUAUUGGUCCGUUUUGUAUUGACCAAUACAAGGUUCCAAAUGGUCUCUUGCAAUGCUUGGCUUGAAUGAUUGUUGUUUUAGUUUUGGCAUGUAUGUCUGGAUAUUUUGGCUAUAGCUUCCUACUUGGAUUCGACUUUUACAAUGUUAGCUUGAACUAUUGAUGUUUUAGUUUGUGUGAGCGUGCUUUGGCCUUAACUUCCUACUUGAAUAUAGAACUUGGGAGUCUUGGGCUGUAAGCUCUUUUAAUGCUCUAAAACAGGGUGAUUUUCACACACACAUUUCUUCAAAAGGUCCCAUGACAGUCUUCAAAAGUUGUGACUUGAAAGUCAUAGGUUUGGUUGAUUGGACCAAUCGAUUAAUAGAUUCCUACUUGGGAGGUUGUAAUUGGGCAAGGCUUGCUUUGUUAGAAAGGUUUUCCUACAACGUAUAUUCCAUGUAAUGGUGAAAGUUUCAUCUGCAAGUUCUUUGUAGUCUCCUAAUCCAAUUUUUUAGGAAAGUAGAUGCCUCCCUUGCUCAUUUGCUCAUAGAUGUGCUCUUGUGAUUUGAUUUUGUUCUCUAUCUCGAGGUUUGGUUACUAAUCUGGUCAACCUCAAUCCAACUCAAAACAAAAUCAUAGUGAAACACAAUUAAACUUCUUUGAUACCAUUUUACAUGUCAGAAAUAUAAAAGCACAAGAACAUUUUAUAUUAAAAGAACUUGAGAACUCUACAAAAGGUUAGUGCUCUGAGGUGCACAAACCGCUACAACAUGGCUAGCUUAUACAACUUAGGCCCCCUGAAAUCAACGAGUGUCUUCGGCUAUUCUCCAUGAAUCCAGUGGGGAUUAAACAACAAUGUACUAAUAUAAACACAUACUAGGUCUCUGUUUUCAGUAUGGUGUAGGAGGACAGACGAGCUUGUUGAUGGCUAGGUUUUGGAAGCCUUUGGAGUAGACCCCAUCAAGGGGUUUACAGAUUUUCAGGUGGUGGAAAAUGCAAAAAUCUAGGCAGAAACUGAGGCAGCCAUGAUACGAUUGGAUAUGAGUGAAUAUAUGGAGCAGCAAAGAAAUUAGUUGUCCUACUAGCUAGAUGCUUUUAGCCAUGGUCCAUGCAAAGCAGGACCAGAUUAGGUGGAUGGUCCCAAUCCAGGGUCUCCCUUCUACAUUUACAGAGGUGGAAUCAACUGCCAUUCAUAGGCAAUUUUAUAGAGGUGCACUUGUCUCUACCAGCUCAUCUAACAAGCAGUAGACAUCCACUAGUACUUUCAAUAUUCUCAACCAGGUGGUUAUUUUUGAGGUUGAGCAUAUUCAUAGGUUGAGCACCCUGUAAUUGAGAUGAUUGUUUGCCAACACCUUGUAGAGUGACAGAUCCAUGUAGCAAAUGGAGAACCUCUUCCCUUGACUCAGUUACAAGUGCCUUUAUAAGGUAAUUGCUAUCAAAGAAGCAGUACUUGACAUCAGACAUGAGCUAGAAAAGUAUGCUGCACGAUAUGUUAAUUUGAAUCAAUUAACCAUUCCUCACUAGAAUUGUUCGGAAUUCCACAUCAACUUUUAUUUCACUUUUGUCAGAUAUGACUUGGCUUCUAGCAUUGUCAAACCUGAUUUUACUUUCUUUCCCCUUUUCUAGUGCCUACUUUUCUUGCACAUGGUUGCAAGUUUCAUCAUUCUUGAAUAUGAAGCAAUUACAAGUAACCAAGAUAUCAGAAUCAUCAAAGAAUGCAUGAAAUGAUCCCAAUUUUCAGAAAUUUACUAAAAACCAAUCUUGUUUCAUUUUCAGCAUUAACUCCAUUCGGAAUUAUCACAACACAACAGGUUGGGCCUUUGUCAGUGUCAUUUUAUACAGGUGUUGAGAGUUCCAACUCCAUAGAAGCAGAAACUUGUACUUGAGACACCUACCCAUUUCAUGAAAAUGUGUGUUUUUUUUUUCAGCUCACAUCAUCCAGAUAAUUGUUCUACUUGACUGUUGUGGGCUUAAAAUCAUUGAGGUGUAUUCAAUUCAGCAAUCAACAAAGCAGUUGCCUGGUGUUGUUGGGUUCAGGUUGUCUGGAAAAUUGAACACAAUGGUGUUACAGCUACCGACUUAGUUUU